UCCAUUCGACCACAGGGCCUUGCAGUCAGUGCGGGGAACGCUGGCCCCCUCCCAUGGUCACAUUGGUGGCUCACAGUCCCACUUUCAACAAGGCCCCCCACAUGAGCACACACCCCGUUUCUGGGGGGGCAGGGCUGUCCUCACCCCCUAGAGCUGCUCCUGGCCCUCUUACCCACAGGUAAGCUCCCCUCUCGCCCAGACCACAGCGACAGCUACUCGAGAGGAAGGACCGUGGCCUUCACUUCUUCACUUCACUUUUGUCUCGGGCCUCAACUUCCUCAUUUGUAAAAUGGGAUAACCAUGAAAGUACUUGCACAAACUCAGAAACUGUCAUCAGCACCGCCAUCGGGUUCCUCUGAAUUUGGGGGUGACCUGAACUUUGGUGGGUGAGCCCCUUCCUCAGAGAAAUGGGCUUCUCCAGCACCCUCCUUGCCUAACUCACCCCCAACGCUUCUCCUCUGCAGAGAGCCUUGGUGUGUGUGAGCGUUGGCGUGAGACCUACGGCAGGGGUGCCAAGAGCAGGUGCUCAUCCAAGGGCAGAUCACCAGGAGAACUUCCAAGGAAGGGUCCCGAGACCCAGGAUGUCACAGCUAGCAGGGACCUCGGGGAUCGCCACUUUGCCAAGCUUUUGUUGCCCAGACAGAAAACCUUCAGCUCAGAGAGGUGGAGACACUGGCCCAGGGACCCACAGCAAGCUGAGAAAACAAGCAGAGGAGGUUCAGCGAGGUGAGGCCGGUUGCCCAAGGUCACACAGCCAGUGGCGGCACAGGGGUCCAAGCCAGGCUGUGCGACCAACGCUCUCAUCGCUGAGCCCUCCGGCCCGGGCCUGCCCCCACGUCACCCUUCCCCGAGCUCCGUGGGCCUUGGGGGCCUGAAGGCCGCGUGGGGCCGCGGUGACAGGUGGCAGGGCCGGGGCCCAGCCCGCGGGGCGGGAGGGGUUAACGGGCUCCGCCGCCGCAUUGGGCCGGCCUCCGGGGGAACCAGCCAAUGGGCGCGCGCCGCGAUGAGGUAAUGCCGGGACCGCGAGGAGUGGGCGGGGCUGGCGGGGACCUCGCCUAGCUCGCCUGCCUUCUCUUCCCACAAACCCCUCACCUUUGACCCUUAAGUCCCCU
Molecule: long non-coding RNA, 1112 nt
Organism: Suricata suricatta (meerkat)
Lineage: Eukaryota; Metazoa; Chordata; Mammalia; Carnivora; Herpestidae
Exons: 3
Source: RefSeq, a predicted model, not a curated record